Molecule: long non-coding RNA, 888 nt
Organism: Cervus elaphus (red deer)
Lineage: Eukaryota; Metazoa; Chordata; Mammalia; Artiodactyla; Cervidae
Exons: 3
Source: RefSeq, a predicted model, not a curated record
AACUCUUUAGAUAAAACCAAAAAAGCAAGUUCUGUAACCAAGGACCAGAUGUAUUUUUGGGUUUAGCCCUUGUACAUAUUUAGCCGAGCUUUUCAAGUGGUGAAGAUUUGCAUGUUUGUUUUGCAAUACUAAUGAAUAUGUUUUUGAUUUACAUUUUAGAAAAUGGAAACUUUUAUCUUCUUGGGGCUUUGUAACUUAAUGACUUCCAGAGGGUGGCUUGGUGUCCUCUUUUAACCCUUCACCACGAGAAACGUAUCUUUUUCAGAGGCCCAGGGCUCUAUCUCACUGAAUGAAACCCUGAAGAUAAUGUGGUUCUGUCUUUUGUUGCUGGAAUGGCAAGGGUUGAAGAGCUUUCAGCUUUCAAUCUAGUGAAAACAUAUGUAAAUGGCAAAUUAUUUUUAAACUGCCUUUAAUGUGAAUUCUGGGGGUAUACAGAAUGACUCCACAGAUGAUAUUUAUAUGAGAUGAAUAAGGACAACUCUUUUGGAAAAACAUUGCUUUGAGAGUUUGGGGCUAUCACAAAGAAAGCUGAUGUGAGUUCCCAUGAAAGGAGGGAUGCAACAUGAGAGGAAUUUGCCAUUACUAAGGAACAUGGAGAUUUUGAGAGUGAUGGAUAUGUUCAUUAUCUUCAUUAUGAUGUUGAUUUCAUGCGUAUGGAAGCCCUUCUCUCAAGUUCCCCUGAGCCAUACAGCAAAUUCCCAUUGGCUAUCUAUUUUACAUUUGGUAAUGUAUGUUUCCAUGUUACUCUCUGCAUACAUCCCACCCUCUCCUUCCUCCCCCCACACUGUAUCCAUAAGUCUGUGUCUCCUCUAUGACUUCUUGAUUUAGCCUGAGAACCCAUACAUUGAGAUUCUUCCAUGUAUUUGAGAGAAGGGUCAUGCUGCUAAU